UGGGGAAUUUUGGACAAUGGGCGAAAGCCUGAUCCAGCAAUGCCGCGUGUGUGAAGAAGGCCUUCGGGUUGUAAAGCACUUUUGUCCGGAAAGAGAUCCUCUGGGUUAAUACCUCGGGGGGAUGACGGUACCGGAAGAAUAAGCACCGGCUAACUACGUGCCAGCAGCCGCGGUAAUACGUAGGGUGCAAGCGUUAAUCGGAAUUACUGGGCGUAAAGCGUGCGCAGGCGGUUUUGUAAGACGGAUGUGAAAUCCCCGGGCUUAACCUGGGAACUGCAUUCGUGACUGCAAGGCUAGAGUAUGGCAGAGGGGGGUAGAAUUCCACGUGUAGCAGUGAAAUGCGUAGAGAUGUGGAGGAAUACCGAUGGCGAAGGCAGCCCCCUGGGCCAAAUACUGACGCUCAUGCACGAAAGCGUGGGGAGCAAACAGGAUUAGAUACCCUGGUAGUCCACGCCCUAAAACGAUGUCAACUAGUUGUUGGGAUUCAUUUCCUUAGUAACGUAGCUAACGCGUGAAGUUGACCGCCUGGGGGAGUACGGUCGCAAGAUUAAAACUCAAAUGAAUUGACGGGGUCAUAGCUGUUU
RNAcentral lists this ribosomal RNA (584 nucleotides) under uncultured bacterium. RNAcentral describes it as "partial 16S ribosomal RNA". It matches the Rfam family "Bacterial small subunit ribosomal RNA", at positions 355 to 935 of the family's 1533-position model. The record is from RNAcentral.